UAUUAAAUUUUCUAUUAACAAAGGUGAAUCCCUUGGCGCUAAAUUUAUUGGGCGGAAAUUUUCGAUAUUCUUAGGGUCAACUUUCUCUAAGGUUCCCGUUUAGGAAACUUUUCUGGUUUAAAUAUUUGGUUCAUUUAAAUUAGGUGUACAUAUGAACGCGUAAGGCUUUAUAUCAACUUACUUGGCGAAUUGAAACAUCUUAGUAGCUUAAGGAAAACUUAUCAAAAGAGAAUCCCGUAACUAGUGGCGAGCGAACAUGGGUUCAGUUUUUUAAAGCAAUAUAUCAAAAUCAAAUCCAAAGAGGGUCUAAGUCCCGUAGUUAUUUUCUUUAAAAAAACCUUGAUUUUAAGUAAAAUGAAAGAAGCUUUUUUUGUUUGAAAACUGGGGAACCAUCCUCAAAAUCAAUAAAUACAGUUUAGCGACCUAUAGUGAAUAGUACCGUGAGGGAAAGGUUGAAAAGAGCCUUCUUAAGGCAGUGAAAAGGUCAAAUGUUUGACGCAGAUUCGUGAAACCUUUGUUUUUUAUCAGUCUUUCUAAAGAAUUACCUUUUGUAUAAUGGUUCAGCGAGUUUUUUGUAAGAGCAAGCCUAAAUUCAUCUUGGAGGCAUAGCGAAAGCGAGUUUUAAUUGAGCGUUAGUUUUUAUAAAAAGACCCGAAACAAAGUGAUCUAACCAAGACCAAAUUGAUAAUAGUUAUAAAACUAUUUGAGGAUUGAACUCGUAUCUGUUGCAAUAGAUUGAGAUGAGUUUUGGUUAGGGGUGAAAAGCCAAUCGAACUUUGAGAUAGCUGGUUUUUCGCGAAAUAUAUUUAGGUAUAGUCUUUAAUUUAUUUCUUUCCAAGGUAGAGCACUUUUUGGAAUCUUAGGGGAGUUUACUCUUACUUGGCCCUUAAAAACUACGAAUGUGGAAAGUUAAUUUUUAAAGAAUCAGACUUUGGGUUCUAAGGUCCUAAGUCAAAAGGGAAACAGCCCAGACCGUCAUUUAAGGCCUCUAAUGUUUGAUUAGUGAAAAGGAGAUUCAGAAUCUUUGACAGCAAGAAGGUAAGCUUGGAGGCAGCUAUCCUUUAAAGAAAGCGUAAAAGCUCACUUGCUUAUUGAUAUUGAUCUCUGAAAAUUUAAGGAGUCUUUUAGCAAACAGCCGAAAGUACGGUAGCUUCUUUUAGAAGUUAGGUAGCGAAACUUUCUGUUUUAGAGAAGACUUGUUGUAAAACAAAGUUGGAGACAUCAGAAUUGAGAAUGCUGAAAUGAGUAACGAAAAUUAAGUGAAGAAGCUUAAUCACCGCAAACCCAAGGUUUUCUUUGAAAUUAAAUUUGCAAAGAAAUAGCCGACCCCUUAGUUUAACCACGAAAGUGUAAAACAAUGGGAAAUUUGUUGUCCUUUUAGAUGCGACGAUACUUUUAUCUGUGAUUUUUAUUGCAGCUCAAAAAUAUCCGGGAAAAAACAUCUAAACUAGUCUUUAAUAGAUAAGAUCGUACUAAAAACCGACGCAGGUGGGUAGGUAGGCUUCUACUAAGGUGCUCGAGAUAACAACUCAAAAGGAACUCGGCAAAAUAAUCUCGUAACUUCGGAAGAUGAGAUAUCUUGUAAGGUAACCCUUAUUUAGAUGGCACGAAAUUGGGAAAAGCGACUGUUUAACAAAAACACAAGACUUUGCAAAUUUGUAACAAAAAGUAUAAAGUCUGACGUCUGCCCAGCACUAAUUAGUGAAAAAAGAAGGUUUUCGCUUUUUUUAUAAGCUGUAGUCAACGGCAGCGGUAACUCUGACCGUUUUAACGUAGCGAAAUUCCUUGGCUAUUAAUUGUAGUCCCGCAUGAAUGACGUAACGACUUUUCUACUGUCUCUUGAGUUGUCUCGGUGAAAUUGAACUCUGUGUGAAGAUGCGCAGAAAAUCUAGAAAGACAAGAAGACCCUAUCAGCUUUACUAAAUUCGGUUAUUACAUUUUCAGUAGUUUUGUGUAGACUAGGUGGUAGCGUAACUACGCGUUUAUGAAAAACCACUCUUAACUAUUUUAAUUUGUUAUUUUCACGGUACUUCGGAAAGUGUCCGAUUGUUAGUUUUUCUGGGGCGGAAGGCUCCUAAAAGGUAACGGAGCUGCGCAAAAGGCAAACUCAUACUAAUUUGUUUUAGUUUUUGAGUGUAAUGGCAAAAGUUUGCUUGACUGCGAGAUUUACGAAUCAAGCAGGGAUUUUUCUGUCGGCCAUAUUGACCCGAUGGUCCUGAAUGGAAAGGCUAUCGAUUAACGGAUAAAAGUUAUGUUAGGGAUAACAGGCUUAUGCCUUCUUAGAGCACUUAUCGAUGAAGGAUUUUGGCACCUCGAUGUUGACUCGUCCUAUCCUCAGGCUGUACAAGGUUUGAAGGGUUCGGCUGUUCGCCGAUUAAAAGGGUACGUGAGUUGAGUUCAGAACGUUGUGAAACAGUUCGGUUUAUAUCUUCUAGAUUUGUAGAAAUUGAGAGACCUUGACCCUAGUACGAGAGGAUUGGGUAAACUUUGCCUAUGGUUUGUUAGUUGUUUUAUUGCAUGCUAAUCAGCUACGCAAAGAAAAAAGUACUGCUGAAUGCAUAUCAAGCGGAAAAUUUAUCUUAAAAAUAUUUCCUUUAUUGGUGAAAAGAUUAUCACUCUGAUAGGCUAUUGGUCUCCGCCAUAUGGUACUAAUCUAACUAAAAGUUUAAUACG
RNAcentral lists this ribosomal RNA (2673 nucleotides) under Diacronema lutheri. RNAcentral's name for it is "large subunit ribosomal RNA". It matches the Rfam family "Bacterial large subunit ribosomal RNA". The record is from RNAcentral. Lineage: Eukaryota; Haptophyta; Pavlovophyceae; Pavlovales; Pavlovaceae. RNAcentral also lists the same sequence under 1 other name.